AUACGGAGGACGCGAGCGUUAUCCGGAUUCAUUGGGUUUAAAGGGUGCGCAGGCGGCCGUGCAAGUCAGCGGUGAAAGCCCGGGGCCCAACCCCGGAAGUGCCGUUGAUACUGCAUGGCUUGAAUGCGGUCGAGGCGGGCGGGACGUGACGUGUAGCGGGGAAAAGCGUAGAUAUGCCACAGAACGCCGAUAGCGGAGGCAGCUCGCCAGGCCUGCAUUGACGCUCGGGCACGAAAGCGUGGGGAUCGAACAGGAUUAGAUACCCUGGUAGUCCACGCCGUAAACGAUGGGCGCUCGUCGUCGGCGGCAGACAGUCGGCGGCCAAGCGAAAGCGAUAAGCGCCCCACCUGGGGAGUACGGUCGCAAGGCUGAAACUCAAAUGAAUUGGCGGGG
This 393-nucleotide ribosomal RNA is filed under the name uncultured bacterium. RNAcentral's name for it is "partial 16S ribosomal RNA". It matches the Rfam family "Bacterial small subunit ribosomal RNA", at positions 523 to 918 of the family's 1533-position model. The record is from RNAcentral.